GUUUAGGGGUAAACCUGAGAAACCCGAAAGGUCGAAAGGAAGAAAUUCAUUCGCGAUCUGUUGCCGGCGAAUAGAUGUACGUCUGACGAACAAUUGAUGAACUUGUACCAUCCGCAAGGGUAGCUGCAUAUUUGUUAUGUUGAACGCUUUGUACGUCUAUCGAUCCAGGCGAUGAACGUGUGCAAUUUUCUUCUGGUAGGACGUCGUGAUUCGUUGGGAUUUGUCGGUCUACGGCGAUAAAGUAAACAGGUCCGUCGGUACGGWAAAACUAGUUUUUAUCGUUUUUACCGAUGGAUUUACUCGAUCUGAUCGAAUUACCCGACGAUAUGCAAACGGUUAAAGGUCGCUAACUUUUAGGUUUGCGUUAGAGAUGUCGGCAAGYGCCAUUAGGUUUGAUUAUAUGUUAAUCGAGGUCAAUCUUUGAUUACAAAUCACUAAUAGGUACUGUUGGCCGUGCAUUAAAUUCAAAUUUUCUAACAGACYUGCUCGAUUUCAAUCGGUACCGAUCUACGACGCUACAGCUUUGGGUAAUUUCAGGACCCGUCUUGAAACACGGACCAAGGAGUCUAGCAUGUACGCAAGUCAUUGGGUUACGCGUAUGUGAAACCUAAGGGCGUAAUGAAAGUGAAUAAAAGAAGGUAAAACGGAGACGUUUCGUGCGAAUUCGUUUUCUUUUUUUAAUGGAAAGAUGAAUGGACGAUAUUACAUAUGUAUGUAUGUAGGUAUCUCUGCUAUUUCGCAUUUCCGGGGCGUUUCGUAUUUUUGUUUGAAAUUUAUUUUUCGAACGAAAUGAGGCGCACCAUGAGCGUACACGCUGGGACCCGAAAGAUGGUGAACUAUGCCUGGUCAGGACGAAGUCAGGSGAAACCCUGAUGGAGGUCCGUAGCGAUUCUGACGUGCAAAUCGAUCGUCGGAAC
RNAcentral lists this ribosomal RNA (917 nucleotides) under Diapus pusillimus. Its description in RNAcentral is "partial 28S large subunit ribosomal RNA". It matches the Rfam family "Eukaryotic large subunit ribosomal RNA", at positions 407 to 911 of the family's 3401-position model. Lineage: Eukaryota; Metazoa; Arthropoda; Insecta; Coleoptera; Curculionidae. The record is from RNAcentral.